RNAcentral lists this ribosomal RNA (442 nucleotides) under uncultured bacterium. RNAcentral describes it as "partial 16S ribosomal RNA". It matches the Rfam family "Bacterial small subunit ribosomal RNA", at positions 338 to 795 of the family's 1533-position model. The record is from RNAcentral.
CCUACGGGAGGCAGCAGUGGGGAAUAUUGGGCAAUGGGCGAAAGCCUGACCCAGCAAUGCCGCGUGAAUGAAGAAGGUCUUCGGAUUGUAAAAUUCUGUCCUAUGGGAAGAAAAAAUUACUGUAUUAUAGGUGGAAGCCCCGGCUAACCACGUGCCAGCAGCCGCGGUAAUACGUAGGGGGCGAGCGUUGUCCGGAAUUACGGGGCAUAAAGUUAGCUGAGGCGGCACUACAAGUCUCAUGUGAAAUACCCGGGCUUAACUUGGGGGUUGCAUGGGAAACUGUAGAGCUUGAGUACAGGAGAGGCAAGCGGAAUUCCUAGUGUAGCAGUGAAAUGCAUAGAUAUUAGGAGGAACACCAGUGGCGAAGGCGGCUUGCUGGACUGAAACUGACGCUGAGGCUCGAAAGCGUAGGGAGCAAACAGGAUUAGAUACCCGGGUAGUC